AACGAACGCUGGCGGCAUGCCUAACACAUGCAAGUCGAACGAGACCUUCGGGUCUAGUGGCGCACGGGUGCGUAACGCGUGGGAACCUGCCCUUAGGUUCGGACUAACUCCCCGAAAGGGGUGCUAAUACCGGAUAAUGUCUUCGGACCAAAGAUUUAUCGCCUUUGGAUGGGCCCGCGUUGGAUUAGCUUGUUGGUAGGGUAAAAGCCUACCAAGGCGACGAUCCAUAGCUGGUCUGAGAGGAUGAUCAGCCACACUGGGACUGAGACACGGCCCAGACUCCUACGGGAGGCAGCAGUGGGGAAUAUUGGACAAUGGGCGAAAGCCUGAUCCAGCAAGGCCGCGUGAGUGAUGAAGGCCUUAGGGUUGUAAAGCUCUUUUAACCGGGAUGAUAAUGACAGUACCGGGAGAAUAAGCUCCGGCUAACUCCGUG
Molecule: ribosomal RNA, 433 nt
Filed under: uncultured bacterium
Lineage: Bacteria
Description: partial 16S ribosomal RNA
Rfam family: Bacterial small subunit ribosomal RNA
Source: RNAcentral